GAACCCGUAGCUCAGUUGGUUAGAGCGCUACAUUGACAUUGUAGAGGUCCCCAGUUCGAAUCUGGGCGGGUUCACAA
RNAcentral lists this transfer RNA (77 nucleotides) under Candidatus Magasanikbacteria bacterium CG_4_10_14_0_2_um_filter_33_14. RNAcentral describes it as "tRNA-Val". It matches the Rfam family "tRNA". Rfam says of the family: Transfer RNA (tRNA) molecules are approximately 80 nucleotides in length. Their secondary structure includes four short double-helical elements and three loops (D, anti-codon, and T loops). The record is from RNAcentral. Lineage: Bacteria; Candidatus Magasanikiibacteriota.